RNAcentral lists this transfer-messenger RNA (345 nucleotides) under Rickettsiales bacterium. It matches the Rfam family "Alphaproteobacteria transfer-messenger RNA". From Rfam's summary of the family: Bacterial tmRNA, also known as 10Sa RNA or SsrA, is named for its dual tRNA and mRNA-like properties. Its role is to liberate the mRNA from a stalled ribosome. Lineage: Bacteria; Pseudomonadati; Pseudomonadota; Alphaproteobacteria; Rickettsiales. The record is from RNAcentral.
CAUAUUGAAAAUUAUUUUUUAUACAUUAUACUAUUAUUGUCUUCAAGACUAUGAUAAUAAACUUUAUACAGAAUAGGUGUUAUGGACUCGGGGGCGGUACCCGACACCUCCACCAAAAAAUUAUGGGGGUGAAAUAGUGUUGACAUUCAUUAAAAAGUAUAAACUUUAUCCGGUAAGAUACAACCGUAAUAGUUCAAAUUAAAAUUAAAUGCAAACGAUAACGUUGCUAACAAUGUUGCAAUGGCUGCUUAGUCGUAAGACUAUAUUUCAAUAGAAAUAUUAUCGCUUGAUUGCGAUUGCUGUUGUAGCGGGGCUUGGGAACGCCUGUCAACAGAAGUUCCCAUU